CCCCAGAGUGUUGAGUUCAGUUCAGGGCAACUUCCCUGUUCUGUUAAUUAAACUUUGGGACAUUGAAAGUGGCUGAGAAAAAGUGAUUGAAUAGAGAGUAUUUCUCUAUUCAUAGACUUCCUAGCCUACACCA
Non-coding RNA from Arvicanthis niloticus (Nile rat), 133 nucleotides. NCBI's taxonomy places the organism in Eukaryota, Metazoa, Chordata, Mammalia, Rodentia, Muridae. The record is from RefSeq and is a predicted model, not a curated record.